GACCUCAUAGGUAAAGGGAUAUACCACAAUCCUCCUAAGAUUGGAUUCCAGGUUCGAGUCCUGGUGGGGUCACCA
RNAcentral lists this transfer RNA (75 nucleotides) under Clostridiales bacterium. RNAcentral describes it as "tRNA-Arg". It matches the Rfam family "tRNA". Rfam says of the family: Transfer RNA (tRNA) molecules are approximately 80 nucleotides in length. Their secondary structure includes four short double-helical elements and three loops (D, anti-codon, and T loops). Further hydrogen bonds mediate the characteristic L-shaped molecular structure. tRNAs have two regions of fundamental functional importance: the anti-codon, which is responsible for specific mRNA codon recognition, and the 3' end, to which the tRNAs corresponding amino acid is attached (by aminoacyl-tRNA synthetases). tRNAs cope with the degeneracy of the genetic code in two manners: having more than one tRNA (with a specific anti-codon) for a particular amino acid; and 'wobble' base-pairing, i.e. permitting non-standard base-pairing at the 3rd anti-codon position. RNAcentral also lists the same sequence under 1 other name. The record is from RNAcentral. Lineage: Bacteria; Bacillati; Bacillota; Clostridia; Eubacteriales.